RNAcentral lists this ribosomal RNA (488 nucleotides) under uncultured bacterium. RNAcentral's name for it is "partial 16S ribosomal RNA". It matches the Rfam family "Bacterial small subunit ribosomal RNA", at positions 28 to 507 of the family's 1533-position model. The record is from RNAcentral.
GAUGAACGCUAGCGGCAGGCUUAACACAUGCAAGUCGAGGGGCAGCAUCAUGUUUAUGAAGGUCUAUUGUGGCGAGCGGCGCAAGGAUGCGUACCACGUAUGCAACCUACCGUUAACAGGGGGAUAACACGGAGCAAUUGGUACUAAUACUCCAUAAUCUCAUAGAAGGCAUCGUUUAUGGUUGAAGAUUCCGGUGGUUAGAGAGGGGCAUGCGUUGUAUUAGCGAGUUGGGGGGGUAACGGCCCACCAAGGCGACGAUACAUAGGGGGACGGAGAGGUUACCCCCCGAGACUGGUACCGAGCUACGGACCAGACGCCUACGGGAGGCAGCAGUGAGGAAGAUUGGGCAAUGGACGCAAGUCUGAACCAGCCAUGCCGCGUGCAGGAUGACGGCGCUAUGAGUGGUAAACUGCUGUUGUACGAGGGCAAACGCAGAUACGUGUAUCUGGUUGAAAGUAUCGUAAGAAUAAGGAUCGGCUAACUACGUG